ACUAUUUUGGCAGAUAAAUGUAAUGGUUUUAGAAGUCAUAUAUAUAUAUAUAUAUAAAUAUAUAGAUAGUA
RNAcentral lists this transfer RNA (71 nucleotides) under Nymphalis c-aureum. RNAcentral describes it as "tRNA-Leu". Lineage: Eukaryota; Metazoa; Arthropoda; Insecta; Lepidoptera; Nymphalidae. The record is from RNAcentral.